UAGUGCCCCUUCCUAUAACCCCUUCCUUCUGCAGGGCACUAAACAACAAAUUUCCCUCUUCUCGGAUGUCACUGUUGACCUGUCAUCAAAGCAAAUGACCUCUCCAAUUAGUCUGCACUUGAAGCCCUAAGGAAGACUGUAAGAGGAGCUCCUCCCAGUGCUACCAGUGCCUCUGCUACCUGGGAGUUCUCAGAUUGCCAAAUGUGGGGAGAGAAUGGAGACCCAAUCUUUCUGAAAGCUCUUCUUACAACCACAGGCAUCAUCUCUGUCUGGUGGAGAUACGUUAGAAGACAAGCCAAGAUGCAGCGAUUCAUAGCUGGCUCUGCUAGAUGAGAACAGAAGACAAGAGGGAGUGGAAGAGGGGUCUAUGGAUUUUUGAAAAGCUGGGUGUUAAGGGGAGCAUGAGACUUUACAUCAAAACAAGAGACAGAAUAAUGGAAGGCCUCACAUCUGGCUUCCUAACUCAGCAACAAAAUCUCUUAUAAGACCUUAGAAAAGAAGCCAUCAAAGAGGCAUAAAGUAAACAAUAAAUGUGGAAAAAAAACAACA
This 549-nucleotide long non-coding RNA is filed under the name Mus spicilegus (steppe mouse). RNAcentral describes it as "lncRNA (ENSMSIG00000018867.1)". The record is from RNAcentral. Lineage: Eukaryota; Metazoa; Chordata; Mammalia; Rodentia; Muridae.